RNAcentral lists this ribosomal RNA (496 nucleotides) under uncultured bacterium. RNAcentral's name for it is "partial 16S ribosomal RNA". It matches the Rfam family "Bacterial small subunit ribosomal RNA", at positions 28 to 507 of the family's 1533-position model. The record is from RNAcentral.
GAUGAACGCUGGCGGCGUGCCUAAUACAUGCAAGUCGAGCGAACAGACGAGGAGCUUGCUCCUCUGACGUUAGCGGCGGACGGGUGAGUAACACGUGGAUAACCUACCUAUAAGACUGGGAUAACUUCGGGAAACCGGAGCUAAUACCGGAUAAUAUAUUGAACCGCAUGGUUCAAUAGUGAAAGACGGUUUUGCUGUCACUUAUAGAUGGAUCCGCGCCUCAUUAGCUAGUUGGUAGGGUAACGGCUUACCAAGGCAACGAUGCGUAGCCGACGUGAGGGGGGGAAGGCCCACCGAGAAGGUGACCCGCGACCCUGGGCCUUAGGGGAGGCCCAGGAGGGGAAGCUACCCAGAAGGGGGAAAUCUUGCAGAAGGGGCGGCGGUGUGGUGAAGAAAUGCUGCGUGUGGGAAAACUGCGUUUGGGGGGAAAACCAAUUUUGAAAGUAACUAAGCGGGUGUGACGGUAACCGAUAAAGAAGGCCCGGCUAACUACGUG